RNAcentral lists this small nuclear RNA (159 nucleotides) under Crocodylus porosus (Australian saltwater crocodile). Its description in RNAcentral is "U1 spliceosomal RNA (ENSCPRG00005009917.1)". The record is from RNAcentral. Lineage: Eukaryota; Metazoa; Chordata; Crocodylia; Crocodylidae.
AUACUUAAGUGGAUGGGAAAAUACCAUGAUCACCAGAGUGGUUUUCCCAGGGACAGGGGAUAGCCAGUUUCCUGGGAUAUGGUAGUACCUGCGGAGGUAAUGUAUAGUUUCCCUCCCAUGGUUAUUGCUUGUGGGAGGGUCUUGGCUUUACACCCCUUU